Molecule: unclassified non-coding RNA, 307 nt
Filed under: plant metagenome
Description: partial contains 5.8S ribosomal RNA, internal transcribed spacer 2, and large subunit ribosomal RNA
Rfam family: 5.8S ribosomal RNA (bases 1-105)
Source: RNAcentral
AAAUGCGAUAAGUAAUGCGAAUUGCAGAAUUUCCGUGAGUCAUCGAAUCUUUGAACGCACAUUGCGCCCAUUGGUAUUCCGAUGGGCAUGCCUGUUCGAGCGUCAUUUCAACCCUCAGAACCCCUUGCGGGAUCUGGCGUUGGGGAUUGGCAUCCAGCCAGCCCCGAAAUCUAGUGGCGGUCCCUCCGCGACCUCCCCUGUGCAGUAGCGAUACCUCGCAGCGGGACAGCGGUCUGACCACGCCGUAAAACCCCCAACUUCUCAAGGUUGACCUCGAAUCAGGUAGGAAUACCCGCUGAACUUAAGC